RNAcentral lists this long non-coding RNA (468 nucleotides) under Dermacentor andersoni. RNAcentral's name for it is "uncharacterized LOC126526659". The record is from RNAcentral. Lineage: Eukaryota; Metazoa; Arthropoda; Arachnida; Ixodida; Ixodidae.
UACCUGCAAAUUUACACAACUUUAUAAGAAAACUGAAGCGGCACUCCUUCUGCAGGUCUACCCCCUUUGUUUGGAAACUGUGUUGACGGGCAAGCUCAGCAACCAGAUGUUCAGGGAGCACCAAUUUACUGCCCACCAGGAACUACUGAUUAUGAAGAUUAGCAGAGACGUCAAACCGAUGGAACAUGGAGGCAAGAAGCGGACGAGAAUUGCGGACUGACUCCUGUGCCUGCCACAGGUUAUCACCCAACGAGGCUUGCCUACACUACACGAGACAGGCUUUGCAAACACUUCAUCGGAAGCGGCAAGGUCCCCUGGCAAGAGGAGAUGAUCAGGAGCAGCAGAGUGUAGUAAUGUUGCAGCAGCUGCUGGUGUUGCUGGGCCACUUGACGGAACUGAGGAGCCAGAAGUUUCCGGCACCUCAUCUUGGUCCUGGAGAUUUCUGUUUCCAGUGCUCAACAGUUAUGA